GGAUACCUACGGGGGGCAGCAGUGGGGAAUAUUGCACAAUGGGGGAAACCCUGAUGCAGCGACGCCGCGUGAGUGAAGAAGUAUCUCGGUACGUAAAGCUCCAUCAGCAGGGAAGAAAAAAAGUCUUUGGCUUUGGACGGUACCUGACUAAGAAGCCCCGGCUAACUACGUGCCAGCAGCCGCGGUAAUACGGAGGAUGCGAGCGUUAUCCGGAUUUAUUGGGUUUAAAGGGUGCGUAGGCGGAAUAUCAAGUCAGCGGUAAAAAUUCGGGGCGCAACCCCGUCGUGCCGUUGAAACUGAUGUUG
RNAcentral lists this ribosomal RNA (305 nucleotides) under uncultured bacterium. RNAcentral describes it as "partial 16S ribosomal RNA". It matches the Rfam family "Bacterial small subunit ribosomal RNA", at positions 333 to 641 of the family's 1533-position model. The record is from RNAcentral.